GCAAGUCGAACGCGCAGCGAAAGGUGCUUGCACCUUUCAAGCGAGUGGCGAACGGGUGAGUAACACGUGGAUAACCUGCCUCAAGGCUGGGGAUAACAUUUGGAAACAGAUGCUAAUACCGAAUAAAACUUAGUAUCGCAUGAUACAAAGUUGAAAGGCGCUACGGCGUCACCUAGAGAUGGGUCCGCGGUGCAUUAGUUAGUUGGUGGGGUAAAGGCCUACCAAGACAAUGAUGCAUAGCCGAGUUGAGAGACUGAUCGGCCACAUUGGGACUGAGACACGGCCCAAACUCCUACGGGAGGCUGCAGUAGGGAAUCUUCCACAAUGGGCGAAAGCCUGAUGGAGCAACGCCGCGUGUGUGAUGAAGGCUUUAGGGUCGUAAAGCACUGUUGUAUGGGAAGAAAUGCUAGAAUAGGGAAUGAUUUUAGUUUGACGGUACCAUACCAGAAAGGGACGGCUAAAUAC
This 465-nucleotide ribosomal RNA is filed under the name uncultured bacterium. RNAcentral's name for it is "bacterial SSU rRNA". It matches the Rfam family "Bacterial small subunit ribosomal RNA", at positions 57 to 504 of the family's 1533-position model. The record is from RNAcentral.